Molecule: ribosomal RNA, 950 nt
Filed under: Aptostichus atomarius
Lineage: Eukaryota; Metazoa; Arthropoda; Arachnida; Araneae; Euctenizidae
Description: partial 16S ribosomal RNA
Source: RNAcentral
GGGCCUACCCCAAAAAGAUAAAUAAUUCAACAUCGAGGUCAUAAUCUUUUUCUUUUAUAAGAACUUUAAGAAAAAAUUGUGCUGUUAUCCCUACGGUAGCUUGGUUGAGUCCCAUCUUGAGGAUAAAAAGAGAGGGAGAAAUAAGAUUUAGUUUUUUACCGCCCCAGUUCAACAUAAGUAAAAGUUCGAUAGGGUCUUGUCGUCCUUCUUUGUUAUACAAGUUUUUUUACUUGAAAGAAAAAUUAAAAUAGUUAAGGUAAUAAAGAAACUCAUAUGUCAGACCUUUCAUACUAGCCUUUAAUUAGAAGGCAAAUGAUUAUGCUACCUUAGCACAGAUUGAUUGCGGCUAUUAAAAUAAUCAUUGAGCAGGACCUACUGAAUAUAAUUUCAUUCAGAAAUGUUUUUGGUAAACAGACAAUAAAUUUAGAGGCCGAGUUCAUGGACCUAAAGUUAAAGUGGGGCAGAGAUAGGGCGGGUUAAAUUAACAAAGUAAUGAGAGUUUUACUAAUAAAAUCAUUGUCGGGUUUAAGAGGAGGCUUUCUUUUAGUACAAUUUAAAACUAAGGAUAGUUUGAGUUUGAAAACUUAGUGGACACUAUUAAUCCUGGCUCUUAAGAGAGAGAGAGGGUGGUAAUAAUUAAAAAAGAUUAUCCCUUUUUAAAUUUUAGUAUUAUUACUUUUAACGAAAACCAGAUAUUAAAGAACGCGAAUGGAAUUUCAUCUCUAUACUCACUUUGGCAAACUUUGUGACACAAGCUUGACAAGGGAAAAUAGGUCGUUUCUAUUUCGGGAAGAUUUUCUAAAAAAGUGGGGUUGACUUUCCCUGAUACCAAAGGUACAUAAAAUUUCUAUUAUUCAAUUUGGUGGAAUUCCCCUUACGGUAAAAUAAAAAGAAGACGCAUACGGUAAUAAAGUAAGUAUUUGUUUAGAUAGAGCAUUAAACAAAGAGCU